CAAUCAUAUUCAGUAUGGCGAAAAUCAGAGCCCAGCAUUCUACUGUAACUAGGUCGGUGAGACACUCUUUCCGGUCACUAUGGUGAAAAUCAGGAUCUAGCAUUCUACUGCAACCGGAUCGGUGAGACACUCUUCCCGUCGGGAAGAGGUUUCUCCCCCUCCAGUAGUAGAGCCUAGUUCUUCACGUCCUGUGAUCACCACGGACGUCCAAAUUGCUGCACUCGUGCAACAGAUGAAUGUCCUCAUGGAGGCAGUCAAAAGCCUCUAACAGCAACAACCACC
This 282-nucleotide long non-coding RNA is filed under the name Elaeis guineensis (African oil palm). Its description in RNAcentral is "long non-coding RNA (EGUI_LNC029974)". The record is from RNAcentral. Lineage: Eukaryota; Viridiplantae; Streptophyta; Magnoliopsida; Arecales; Arecaceae.